AAUUGUCUACAAACCCAAAAUAGAUUUCAAAAAUAUCUACCAAAAAACUACAGAGCUACUAAAGAUCCGACGUUACUUUAUUUUGAGUUCUUGAAUCUUCUUCUUGGACUCAUGCCGGUUCUGCAAAUGCCUACAAAAGAAGAAGCCAAAUGUGUCUCUGAAGCUUCAGAGACUUCUUCCUCCAAAGUAGCUUGCUUAAUCAGGUUUCUUAAAAUAGUUACUGUAUCUUGCUCUCGAGAUGCAAAAGGAUUCGCCGGAGGAUCCAUGACUGGGUUUUGUUUUCCGAUCUCCUCCUCUUUCAGAAAUUGAAAAGGUUAAGGAGCUAAAGAGUCUUUUUGUUUACUAAUUAACCAUAAUUAAUAUGCUCCGUCAUCAAAAACAGAGCAGCUAAAAACACUUCAUUAGAGGCCCAUAUGUAUAUGGGCCGGAGUUUAAUACGGCCCAAAUCAGUAUAACCGAGUUCAAUAACCGGUAAGAAUUAAAAUAUUUUACAUUAUUCACCCAAAUCUUUACAUUAAUCACAACAAACUCCAACAUCUAUUCGACUCUUUCAAAUUCACACUCUUCCUCCUCUUCGAAAUCUCCGAGUACAAAAUCGAUCAAUCUCUCGGAAAAUGAUCGUGUAUUCUCUCUCUCAGCCUCACUGCUUCCUAAUGAAUCUCUCUAUUUCUCCUCAUUACGGUUGCUGCUACUGCGGAGUUUGGUGGGGAGGUAUUAGAGACGGAGCUUUGGUGCGUGGCGAAGAACAACGUUGAGGAUUCAACACUUUAAACGGCCAUUGACUGGGCUUGUGGUCCCAGAGGAGCUGAUUGCGUCUAGAUUCAGCAAGAUGAAGCUUGCAACUUUAGUAACAACGCAGCUGUUACUUCUCUCAAUCCUAGUCAAGGAACAUGCAAGUUUCCUUCAAGUAAGGGAGUGAGCAAUGGAAGUAUCGCAGAUGCCACUUCAAUGCAGGGAGCAACUGCACCAGAAUUCUCAGAUUGAGCCGAGCAAGGCGGAUGUUUAGCAGCUGGUUGUCACCCUUCGUCAUUUUAGGCCACAUUGUGACAAUGACACUGAUUAUCCAACAGGUUUAGCUUCCGAUUGGUGAUUGAAGGUAACCCUUUUAUGAUCUCUCUUCUCCCUCAGUUUUAUGUAACUAAAAUGGUUCUGCAUCUUUUAUGGAGCCCUGAUAUGUACUGUCUACCACUGUGAAUAGUUAACUUGAAUGGCAUGAACUGCACC
RNAcentral lists this long non-coding RNA (1224 nucleotides) under Arabidopsis thaliana (thale cress). RNAcentral's name for it is "potential natural antisense gene, locus overlaps with AT2G42360 and AT2G42370 (AT2G42365)". The record is from RNAcentral. Lineage: Eukaryota; Viridiplantae; Streptophyta; Magnoliopsida; Brassicales; Brassicaceae.